Molecule: small RNA, 120 nt
Filed under: Marmota monax (woodchuck)
Lineage: Eukaryota; Metazoa; Chordata; Mammalia; Rodentia; Sciuridae
Source: RNAcentral
GCUGGGUGCGGUGGUGCACAUCUGUAAUCUCAGCAACUCAGGAGGCUGAGGCAAGAGGAUCACAAGGCCAUCCUCAGCAACUUAGCAAGUCCCUGAGGACUUAGCAAGACCCUGUCUCAA